This 734-nucleotide long non-coding RNA is filed under the name Zostera marina. RNAcentral's name for it is "long non-coding RNA (ZMAR_LNC004421)". Lineage: Eukaryota; Viridiplantae; Streptophyta; Magnoliopsida; Alismatales; Zosteraceae. The record is from RNAcentral.
AGAAAAAUUCAGGAACGGGUAGUGCCGUUCCAGGCGAUUUUGCGGUACCAGCAUCCACCGUUCCCAAACAGAGUAUGGCUUCCGUCCACCGUCCAUCGUGGUAUAUAUAUUCGUGGAGUCAGUCAAGUAUGGCCUGUCCGGAAACAGAGUCACCAUCUUCGCGAACUCACAUCCCUCGCGGAACCCAUCUUCGCAGUGCCCAAUCGAUGCCCUCGCGGAACCCAUCUUCGCGAACUGACAUCCCUCGCGAACUGACCUCCGAUGCCCUCGCGAACUGACCUCCGAUGCCCAAUCGAUGCCCUCGCGAACUGACCUCCGAUGCCUAAUCGAUGCCCUCGCGAACUGACCUCCGAUGCCCUCGCGAACUGACCUCCGAUGCCCUCGCGAACUGACCUCGCGAACUGACCUCCCGAAUUGCACUGACCUCCGAUGCCCAAUCGAUGCCCUCGCGAACUGACCUCCGAUGCCAUCGCGAACUGACCUCCGAUGCCCAAUCGAUGCCCUCGCGGAACCCAUCUUCGCAGUGCCCAAUCGAUGCCCAAUCGAUGCCCUCGCGGAACCCAUCUUCACGAACUGACAUCCCUCGCGAACUGACCUCCGAUCACGGAACCGACGAACCCAUCUUCACGAACUGACAUCCCUCGCGAACUGUUCUGGUGGCCGCCUGGAACGGCACGUCCGUUCCAGAUAUUUUCCCUAUUAGUAUAUAUAUGCUAUCUGAUUUGAAGAUAUAU